GACGAACGCUGGCGGCGUGCUUAACACAUGCCAGUCGAACGGAAAGGCCCUGCUUUUGUGGGGUGCUCGAGUGGCGAACGGGUGAGUAACACGUGAGUAACCUGCCCUUGACUUUGGGAUAACUUCAGGAAACUGGGGCUAAUACCGGAUAGGAGCUCCUGCUGCAUGGUGGGGGUUGGAAAGUUUCGGCGGUUGGGGAUGGACUCGCGGCUUAUCAGCUUGUUGGUGGGGUAGUGGCUUACCAAGGCUUUGACGGGUAGCCGGCCUGAGAGGGUGACCGGCCACAUUGGGACUGAGAUACGGCCCAGACUCCUACGGGAGGCAGCAGUGGGGAAUAUUGCACAAUGGGCGGAAGCCUGAUGCAGCAACGCCGCGUGCGGGAUGACGGCCUUCGGGUUGUAAACCGCUUUCGCCUGUGACGAAGCGUGAGUGACGGUAAUGGGUAAAGGAGCACCGGCUAACUACGUG
Molecule: ribosomal RNA, 468 nt
Filed under: uncultured bacterium
Lineage: Bacteria
Description: partial 16S ribosomal RNA
Rfam family: Bacterial small subunit ribosomal RNA
Source: RNAcentral